RNAcentral lists this ribosomal RNA (557 nucleotides) under uncultured bacterium. RNAcentral describes it as "bacterial SSU rRNA". It matches the Rfam family "Bacterial small subunit ribosomal RNA", at positions 772 to 1322 of the family's 1533-position model. The record is from RNAcentral.
ACCAAAUAGAUACCCGGGUAGUCCACGCUGUAAACGAUGAGAACUAGACGUUGGAAGGAUCUGCCUUUCAGUGUCGCAGCUAACGCGUUAAGUUCUCCGCCUGGGGAGUACGGCCGCAAGGUUGAAACUCAAAGGAAUUGACGGGGGCCCGCACAAGCGGUGGAGUAUGUGGUUUAAUUCGAUGCAACGCGAAGAACCUUACCUGGUCUUGACAUCCUCGGAACCCUGCAGAGAUGCGGGGGUGCCUUCGGGAACUGAGAGACAGGUGCUGCACGGCUGUCGUCAGCUCGUGUCGUGAGAUGUUGGGUUAAGUCCCGCAACGAGCGCAACCCUCGUCCCUAGUUGCCAGCAUUCAGUUGGGAACGUCUAGGGAGGACUGCCGGUGACAAACCGGAGGAAGGUGGGGAGUGACGUCAAGUCAUCAUGGCCCGUUACUGACCAGGGCGUACACACGUACUACAAUGGUCGGUACAAAGGGUUAGCCAACGCCGCGAGGUGGAGCUAAUCCCAGAAAACCGGUACGUAGUCCGGAUCGGAGUCUGCAACUCGACUCCGUC